AAGGGCUCGGCUCCAUGAGUAAGUAAGUAAGUAAGUAAAUAAAUGCAGACUAAGUUAAUCUCUCCGCUGUCCUUAUAUAUUUGAAUCUUUCGAGUGUCAACAUCGAUUGCUCAAUUACAAACUGGCGGUCUUUUGAACAUGAUUUUGAGCAGUGGGUUUAUGUUAUGUUAUGAUUACCAGAACGUUUUUUCUUAAAUGGGUUUUAAGGUAAACAUUUUAAUUUCAAAUGCAUUUGUUAAUAAUUCUAAUUUUUCGCAUUGUAAUUAUAGAUCAAAUACCUUGGGCUGGUACAGAAAUCGUUUAGAAAUUUCAUCUAAUAGAUGGUGCGACAUCACUUACUGGCUCAACCCAUUCUCGGCAAACUCUGAGUAAUAGUUGCAAAUUCCACCGAUAGAGUGUAUGAAUCUUUUGCACAUGCUACCAUCUAUAGCCAUGCAUUACGCGCUUAAGUAAUGGCGCAAUUUUCAAGGUGGGAAUGUCGUAAGUUGCAGUCAUGUUGGGUGUUGGUUCACGAUUACGUUGACGUAUUAGUGCAGUGUCGUUUAUUAAGAAAAUAUAAUUUCAAUUUUAAACGUAUAUCCUACAUCUCUGAGGAGUUUUCUUAUGUCUGUCCUUACGUAUGUUUUCAUUACGCAGGUCAAUCUUCGGUUUUUAAAUAAUUUAAACGUAAUUAAUUUUCUUUCUACCUGUACUUGCAUGUACUCUGUAAAACUACCUUUCAGAGUGUGUUCGCUGAUAGUAGAGAGUUGUUAGGAGAUUGUUGAUUUGAACAGUCCAUAGAAAUGACUGAUAUUUAAGUAAUAUCACUGUGACUGUGAACUUAUAGGUUAGAACUCAGGUUAUAUGUACAUGAUAAGGAGAGACUUGUGAGUGAAAGUGACCCAACAAACUCAAUAGGAACGGUAAUUUUGUUCUGUGUAAGGCAAGGAAGGGUUUACCCUGAAGAUGGAGGUGACCUUGAAGACAGGCAGCACGUUCCUGUGAAAUGGUUGAAUUUCUACCAGAAAACGUGGCGUCUCAUUCCAGAAAGCAGUACUCUUCAUAGUACCUACUGUGAGAACCUCGAACCUCAAGGCCAGCUUCACACUGACUGCGUGGAGAUGACUGCACAGCACACAGAUACUCACGAAGGUAGUGG
Cryptotermes secundus is the source of this 1138-nucleotide long non-coding RNA. RefSeq lists it as uncharacterized. The transcript has 3 exons. The record is from RefSeq and is a predicted model, not a curated record. Lineage: Eukaryota; Metazoa; Arthropoda; Insecta; Blattodea; Kalotermitidae.